Molecule: ribosomal RNA, 208 nt
Filed under: uncultured bacterium
Lineage: Bacteria
Description: partial 16S ribosomal RNA
Rfam family: Bacterial small subunit ribosomal RNA
Source: RNAcentral
UACGAAGGGUGCAAGCGUUAAUCGGAAUUACUGGGCGUAAAGCGCGCGUAGGCGGCUGUCUAAGUCGGGUGUGAAAAGCCCCGGGCGUCAACCUACGGGAACGUAGCAUUCGUAUACUGGACGGCUAGAGUAUGAGAGAGGGAGGUAGAAUUCCACGUGUAGCGGUGAAAUGCGUAGAUAUGUGGAGGAAUACCGGUGGCGAAGGCGG